Molecule: transfer RNA, 65 nt
Filed under: Curculionoidea sp. 14 KM-2017
Lineage: Eukaryota; Metazoa; Arthropoda; Insecta; Coleoptera
Description: tRNA-Ile
Source: RNAcentral
AAUGAGAUGCCUGAAAAAAAGGAUUAUUUUGAUAGAAUAAAUUAUGUGGCCCCCCGCUCUCAUUA